CGCGAAUGGCUCAUUAUAACAGCUAUAAUUUACUUGAUCUUGACACAAUCCUACUUGGAUAACUGUGGUAAUUCUAGAGCUAAUACAUGCAUUAAAGCUCUGACCUCACGGGAAGAGUGCAUUUAUUAGAACAAAACCAAGCGGCUUCGGCUGUUUCUGGUUGACUCAUAGUAACUGAGCUGAUCGCACGGUCUUGCACCGGCGACGUGUCUUUCAAGUAUCUGCCGUAUCAACUUUCGAUGGUAGUGUAUCUGACUACCAUGGUGAUCACGCGUAACGGAGAAUAAGGGUUCGGCUCCGGAGAGUUCGCCUGAGAAAUCGCGAACACAUCUAAGGAAGGCAGCAGGCGCGAAAAUUACCCACUCUCAACACGAGGAGGUAGUGACGAAAAAUAACGAGACCGUUCUCUUAUGAGGCCGGUCAUCGGAAUGGGUACAAUUUAAACCCUUUAACGAGUAUCUAUGAGAGGGCAAGUCUGGUGCCAGCAGCCGCGGUAAUUCCAGCU
Molecule: ribosomal RNA, 505 nt
Filed under: Cervidellus vexilliger
Lineage: Eukaryota; Metazoa; Nematoda; Chromadorea; Rhabditida; Cephalobidae
Description: SSU rRNA
Rfam family: Eukaryotic small subunit ribosomal RNA
Source: RNAcentral